RNAcentral lists this ribosomal RNA (461 nucleotides) under uncultured bacterium. RNAcentral's name for it is "bacterial SSU rRNA". It matches the Rfam family "Bacterial small subunit ribosomal RNA", at positions 29 to 507 of the family's 1533-position model. The record is from RNAcentral.
AACGAACGCUGGCGGCAGGCUUAACACAUGCAAGUCGAACGGUUGUAGCAAUACAGCAGUGGCAGACGGGUGAGUAACACGUGGGAACCUUCCUAGGGGUACGGAACAACUCAGGGAAACUUGAGCUAAUACCGUAUACGUCCGUGAGGAGAAAGAUUUAUCGCCCUUAGACGGGCCCGCGUCGGAUUAGCUAGUUGGUGGGGUAACGGCCUACCAAGGCGACGAUCCGUAGCUGAUCUUAGAGGAUGAUCAGCCACACUGGGACUGAGACACGGUCCAGACACCUACGGGUGGCAGCAGUAGGGGAAUAUUGCGCAAUGGGCGAAAGCCUGACGCAGCGAUGCCGCGUGAGUGACGAAGGUCUUAGGAUUGUAAAGCUCUUUUCUGAGGGAAGAAUAGGUCUGGUAGGAAAUGACUGGAUUCUGACGGUACCUCAGGAAUAAGGAACGGCUAACUCCGUG